CCUACGGGGGGCAGCAGUGAGGAAUAUUGGUCAAUGGGCGCGAGCCUGAACCAGCCAAGUCGCGUGAAGGAUGACUGCCCUACGGGUUGUAAACUUCUUUUAUAAAAGACUAAAGUGAGGCACGUGUGCCUAUUUGUAUGUACUUUAUGAAUAAGGAUCGGCUAACUCCGUGCCAGCAGCCGCGGUAAUACGGAGGAUCCGAGCGUUAUCCGGAUUUAUUGGGUUUAAAGGGAGAGUAGUUGGGUUGUUAAGUCAGUUGUGAAAGGUUGCGGCUGAACCGUAAAAUUGCCACUGAUACUGGCAGUCUGGAGUACAGUUGAGGUAGGCGGAAUUCGUGGUGUAGCGGUGAAAUGCUUAGAUAUCACACAGAACACCGAUUGCGAAGGCAGCUUACUAAACUGCCACUGACAUUGAGGCUCGAAAGUGUGGGUAUCAAACAGGAUUAGAUACCCUGGUAGUC
RNAcentral lists this ribosomal RNA (460 nucleotides) under uncultured bacterium. Its description in RNAcentral is "partial 16S ribosomal RNA". It matches the Rfam family "Bacterial small subunit ribosomal RNA", at positions 338 to 795 of the family's 1533-position model. The record is from RNAcentral.